CGGGAAAUAGUUCAACUUGGUAGAGCACCUGGUUUGGGACCAGGGGGUUGCAGGUUCAAAUCCUGUUUUCCCGACCA
Molecule: transfer RNA, 77 nt
Filed under: Firmicutes bacterium CAG:822
Lineage: Bacteria; Bacillati; Bacillota
Also listed under: 3 other names
Description: transfer RNA-Pro(TGG)
Rfam family: tRNA
About the family: Transfer RNA (tRNA) molecules are approximately 80 nucleotides in length. Their secondary structure includes four short double-helical elements and three loops (D, anti-codon, and T loops). Further hydrogen bonds mediate the characteristic L-shaped molecular structure. tRNAs have two regions of fundamental functional importance: the anti-codon, which is responsible for specific mRNA codon recognition, and the 3' end, to which the tRNAs corresponding amino acid is attached (by aminoacyl-tRNA synthetases). tRNAs cope with the degeneracy of the genetic code in two manners: having more than one tRNA (with a specific anti-codon) for a particular amino acid; and 'wobble' base-pairing, i.e. permitting non-standard base-pairing at the 3rd anti-codon position.
Source: RNAcentral